CUACGGGUCGCAGCAGUGAGGAAUAUUGCACAAUGGGGGGAACCCUGAUGCAGCAACGCCGCGUGGAGGAUGACGCAUUUCGGUGUGUAAACUCCUUUUAUAUGUCAAGAAAAUGACGGUAGCAUAUGAAUAAGCACCGGCUAACUCCGUGCCAGCAGCCGCGGUAAUACGGAGGGUGCAAGCGUUACUCGGAAUCACUGGGCGUAAAGGACGCGUAGGCGGGUUGGCAAGUCAGGUGUGAAAUCCUACAGCUUAACUGUAGAACUGCACUUGAAACUUCUAAUCUAGAGUAUGGGAGGGGGAGAUGGAAUUAGUGGUGUAGGGGUAAAAUCCGUAGAUAUCACUAGGAAUACCUAAAGCGAAGGCGAUCUCCUGGAACAUUACUGACGCUAAGACGUGAAAGCGUGGGGAGCAAACAGGAUUAGAUACCCGCGUAGUC
This 439-nucleotide ribosomal RNA is filed under the name uncultured bacterium. RNAcentral describes it as "partial 16S ribosomal RNA". It matches the Rfam family "Bacterial small subunit ribosomal RNA", at positions 339 to 795 of the family's 1533-position model. The record is from RNAcentral.